UAUGUAUGUUUGUUGAUGUGUCGAUGAGUACAACAUCAACCUUUGGUCCAUUUUUAGGAGGAUGUGAAGCAGAUCCUCAGCUCUUCUUCAUCGAAGACCAUCUUCGAUCUCUCAUCUUGUAAAUUAUUAGUAACAGAAAACAAGAAAAACACACUAGUUAAGAGGCGAGAUUUUGAGCGAGUCAAAAAGAGGAAGAAGAAUCAUGGCUGUUGUUGAAUCAACCAGUCCAGAUUCAGCUGUUGUUGCAUCAUCAGCAUCUACACCGGCAUCCAACGGAGAGAAUCAGCCGAAGCAAAACGGAGUCUCCAUGGUGAGACCGCACGAUCAGGGCUUGUACGUCACUGGUAACAACCAAAACAAUCAUGGAUCCAACGGAGGAGGUGACUUCAAGCAUGAUAUGAGGGAGUUACAAGAGCUUUUCUCCAAGCUCAACCCCAUGGCUGAAGAGUUUGUUCCUCCUUCACUUGCUAAAACUAAUGGAUUCACUGGAGGUUUCUUCGCAAACAACUUGCAUCUUUUGCAUAACCCAAACACUGGAAAUGGAAAUGUUAAUGCCAACGCCGCUCUUCGACGGAAGAAAAGCUUUGGCCAGGGCAAACGGAGAAUCAACAGCAGGACUAGUAUGGCCCAGCGGGAUGAGAUAAUUCGGAGGACUGUAUAUGUAUCUGACAUUGAUCAACAGGUCACUGAAGAGCAGCUCGCAGCUCUAUUUGUAAGUUGUGGCCAGGUUGUUGAUUGCCGUAUUUGUGGUGAUCCUAAUUCUGUACUUCGUUUUGCCUUUAUUGAGUUCACUGAUGAAGAAGGUGCAAGGGCUGCUUUAAAUCUGGCAGGAACAAUGCUUGGAUUUUACCCUGUCAGGGUGCUGCCUUCCAAAACAGCUAUUGCUCCAGUUAACCCAACAUUUUUGCCCAGGAAUGAAGAUGAACGUGAAAUGUGUGCAAGAACUAUCUAUUGUACAAAUAUCGAUAAGAAGGUCACUCAAGCAGAUGUGAAACUCUUUUUUGAAUCAGUCUGUGGAGAGGUUUAUCGCCUGAGGCUGCUAGGAGACUAUCACCAUUCUACUCGCAUUGCUUUUGUGGAGUUUGUAAUGGUUAGAGGAAUUUCUAUGAAGGCCAUUGGCAUAAUGAAGGGUUUUCCUUAUGCUUAUGAAGGGCUUAAUAAAGGGCUUUCAGGCUGAAAGUGCAAUUGCUGCUCUCAACUGUAGUGGUGUGGUUCUUGGUUCAUUGCCAAUUAGGGUAAGCCCAUCAAAGACGCCUGUGAGGCCACGUGCUCCUCGUCUUCCCAUGCAUUGAAUCAUCCUGAUGGUCCCGAUGGAUUCUAGUGCCAGUUUAUAUAUAUUUAGAUACAUACACACACCAAUGUAAAGAUGUUCUCAUCUCUGGUCUGUCUGUUUUAUAUACUUUUGUCCGUGGCAUCUCUGCCUGGGAAGUUCGUUGUCAUAGGGUUUAUGUUUUGUUUGUUCUGGCAAAUAUAGAGUUGGAUGGUACUUCGAGGCUUUAGAGAUUUCAUAUAUUAUUGCUCGUUGUUAUGGAAUGGAUGAUGCUUGUUCCAAACAUGGGCUUUUAUUAGUAACACCUGACAUUUUAAUCA
This is an RNA transcript of Pistacia vera, 1590 nucleotides long. It is a transcript of the gene named polyadenylate-binding protein-interacting protein 11-like, with no coding region annotated. The transcript is spliced from 12 exons. The record is from RefSeq and is a predicted model, not a curated record. NCBI's taxonomy places the organism in Eukaryota, Viridiplantae, Streptophyta, Magnoliopsida, Sapindales, Anacardiaceae.